GCUUGUCUCAAAGAUUAAGCCAUGCAUGUCUAAGUAUAAAUGGUAUACAGUGAAACUGCGAAUGGCUCAUUAAAACAGUUAUAGUUUAUUUGGUAUUCGAAUUUACAUGGAUAACCGUGGUAAUUCUAGAGCUAAUACAUGCACCCGUGCCCGACUUUGUGGAAGGGUUGUGUUUAUUAGUUACAGAACCAGCCCAGGCUCUGCCUGGUCUUGUGGUGAUUCAUAAUAACCGAACGAAUCGUAUGGCAUCAGCUGGCGAUGAAUCAUUCAAGUUUCUGACCUAUCAGCUUCCGACGGUAGGGUAUUGGCCUACCGUGGCAAUGACGGGUAACGGAGAAUUAGGGUUCGAUUCCGGAGAGGGAGCCUGAGAAACGGCUACCACAUCUAAGGAAGGCAGCAGG
RNAcentral lists this ribosomal RNA (401 nucleotides) under Azadinium dalianense. RNAcentral describes it as "partial small subunit ribosomal RNA". It matches the Rfam family "Eukaryotic small subunit ribosomal RNA", at positions 30 to 432 of the family's 1831-position model. The record is from RNAcentral. Lineage: Eukaryota; Dinophyceae; Gonyaulacales; Amphidomataceae.